UACAGAGGCCUCAAGCGUUGUUCGGAAUUACUGGGCGUAAAGGGUGUGCAGGCUGCGCCGAUAGUCUGUUGCGAAAACUUCAGGCUCAACCUGAAUCCCGCAAUCGAAACUUCUGCGCUAGAGGUUCAAAGAGGGAAUUGGAAUUCACGGAGUAGCAGUGAAAUGCGUAGAGAUCGUGAGGAACACCAAAGGCGAAGGCAGAUUCCUAGUUAAAACCUGACGCUCAAACACGAAGGCCAGGGUAGCAAACGGG
RNAcentral lists this ribosomal RNA (253 nucleotides) under uncultured bacterium. RNAcentral describes it as "partial 16S ribosomal RNA". It matches the Rfam family "Bacterial small subunit ribosomal RNA", at positions 524 to 776 of the family's 1533-position model. The record is from RNAcentral.